UGUGCUCUUUGGGCUCCCUCUCAAAACUCCAUGCGGUAUGCAUAUUCUGAUGAUGUGGGAGAAGAGUUUGACAGAGAUGACAGUUCUUUGACUCUCAUUAAACCAUCUGCAAUGCCUUCGAAGGAUGUUCGAAGUGCACCAGAAGCUAGACUAGUGCAAGCCAACAACGGCGCAUCUAAUGGUGAUGUUGAAGAAGACAAGACAGCCUAAAGUAUAUCCCCCCAAAAAAUGUAAUUUUGAGUUAGGCUUAAUUAUUUGAUUUGUGGCCUUGCAAUCCUUCUCAUGCUCUCUGAAGACAUUGAGAACAUUUUAGGAGCAAAGUUUCAUGACAAAGAAAAGUUACACUUUGAGAUUGCAACAGGUGAGAGCUGU
This 372-nucleotide unclassified non-coding RNA is filed under the name Hevea brasiliensis (rubber tree). The record is from RNAcentral. Lineage: Eukaryota; Viridiplantae; Streptophyta; Magnoliopsida; Malpighiales; Euphorbiaceae.